Fukomys damarensis (Damara mole-rat) is the source of this 316-nucleotide unclassified non-coding RNA. Its record names the gene 7SK. It matches the Rfam family "7SK RNA". From Rfam's summary of the family: 7SK was discovered as an abundant small nuclear RNA in the mid-70s but a possible function has only recently been suggested. Lineage: Eukaryota; Metazoa; Chordata; Mammalia; Rodentia; Bathyergidae. The record is from Ensembl.
UGAUGUCAGGGUGAUCUGGCUGUGACAUCUGUCACCCCAUUGAUAGCCAGGGUUGAUUCGGCUGAUCUGGCUGGCUGGGCGGGUGUCCCCUUCCUCCCUCACCACUCCCUGUGCAGCCCCCCGCAAAGCUGCGCGCUUGGUCAAAGAGGACGAGCACCCCUAAUAGAGCAGGACCGUUUCCUUGGUCAAGGGUAUACAAGUAGCUGUGUGCCCCAGCUAGGACCUCCAAACCAGCUCUCAAAGUUAGGAUCAGCUGGUCUUCCACAUCCACAGGUUUUUACAUCCAUAGAUUCAACCAAGCACAGAUUGAAAAUAU